UACGUAGGGUCCGAGCGUUGUCCGGAAUUACUGGGCGUAAAGAGCUCGUAGGUGGUUUGUCGCGUUGUUCGUGAAAACUCACAGCUCAACUGUGGGCGUGCGGGCGAUACGGGCAGACUUGAGUACUGCAGGGGAGACUGGAAUUCCUGGUGUAGCGGUGGAAUGCGCAGAUAUCAGGAGGAACACCGGUGGCGAAGGCGGGUCUCUGGGCAGUAACUGACGCUGAGACGCGAAAGCGUGGGGAGCAAACAGG
This 253-nucleotide ribosomal RNA is filed under the name uncultured bacterium. RNAcentral describes it as "partial 16S ribosomal RNA". It matches the Rfam family "Bacterial small subunit ribosomal RNA", at positions 524 to 776 of the family's 1533-position model. The record is from RNAcentral.